UACGUAGGGUGCAAGCGUUACUCGGAAUUACUGGGCGUAAAGCGUGCGCAGGCGGUCUUGCAAGACAGAUGUGAAAUCCCCGGGCUUAACCUGGGAACUGCAUUUGUGACUGCAAGGCUGGAGUACGGUAGAGGGGGAUGGAAUUCCGCGUGUAGCGGUGAAAUGCGUAGAUAUCUGGAGGAAUACCGGUGGCGAAGGCGGCAUCCUGGACCGGCAUUGACGCUGAUGAGCGAAAGCUAGGGGAGCAAACGGG
Molecule: ribosomal RNA, 253 nt
Filed under: uncultured bacterium
Lineage: Bacteria
Description: partial 16S ribosomal RNA
Rfam family: Bacterial small subunit ribosomal RNA
Source: RNAcentral